GGCCACACCACCCUGAACACACCCGAUUGCAUCUGAUCUCAGAAGCCAAGCAGGGUGGGGCCUGGUUAAUACUUGGAUGGGAGAC
RNAcentral lists this ribosomal RNA (85 nucleotides) under Ailuropoda melanoleuca (giant panda). Lineage: Eukaryota; Metazoa; Chordata; Mammalia; Carnivora; Ursidae. The record is from RNAcentral.